GUGGGGAAUCUUCCGCAAUGGACGAAAGUCUGACGGAGCGACGCCGCGUGAGUGAAGAAGGCCUUCGGGUCGUAAAGCUCUGUCAUCAGGGACGAACGGCCGGUGGAGUGGAAAGCCACCGGAUUGACGGUACCUGAGAAGGAAGCCACGGCUAACUACGUGCCAGCAGCCGCGGUAAUACGUAGGUGGCAAGCGUUGUCCGGAAUUAUUGGGCGUAAAGCGCGCGCAGGUGGGAUCUUAAGUCCAUUUUUAAAGUUCGGAGCUCAACUCCGUGAUGGGAUGGAAACUGGGAUUCUUGAGUACCGGAGAGGAAAGCGGAAUUCCCCGUGUAGCGGUGAAAUGCGUAGAUAUGGGGAGGAACACCAGUGGCGAAGGCGGCUUUCUGGACGGUGUCUGACACUGAGGCGCGAAAGCCAGGGGAGCGAACGGGAUUAGAAACCCGUGUAGUCC
RNAcentral lists this ribosomal RNA (450 nucleotides) under uncultured bacterium. RNAcentral's name for it is "partial 16S ribosomal RNA". It matches the Rfam family "Bacterial small subunit ribosomal RNA", at positions 354 to 796 of the family's 1533-position model. The record is from RNAcentral.